CCAGAACCGGGCGGCCAGGCUUCCCGGGAUCAGCGGCGUGAGCCGAAACUGCCCAGGAAAGCCCCUGAAAGGCGGGCGCUGGUCGGUCCUCAAACACGAAGCCCCACUGUGUGCCCAGGGCUGGGGCAGCGCCUUGGACCGAGCAGCGGGUCAGCCCUGCGGAGGACCGGCCGGGUGGAGACUGGCCUGAAGAAAGACGCGGCUGGGGAGCCUGACAAGCCCGCAGGACCUGCGAGCUCGCAGACCCGCGUUCUUGUCACGGAGCCCAGGCGCGAGUGGAUCCAUGCCCGAGAACCGAAGGACGGGAGCGCCCUGGGUGAGGCGGACCCUGCCGAGGGCUGUGACCCACUUGGGCCCCAGACUUUCACCUCUGUCGGUCUGCAGGCCUGUUCUGGCUUCCAUUCCGGAGCUGUGUGCAGAGGAGUCCACUGGGGCCGGGCAGACCUGGGCCGGCGGGCACUCGGCUCUCCGCCCACUCCGGCCUCUGCUGCCCUUUCAGCUCGAAGGCGAUGGCGCCAUCCCGUCCCAGCGCACCCCUGUCUUGGGCUUGUCCUCGGACGUCCAUCCUCCGUCCCCAGAGCUGGCCCGAGGGGGGCCCCGGGGAGGCGGCGGAGGCCCAGAGCGUGGAAUAAGCGAGCCUCUGCCGUGGGAGGGCGCUGCCCCCUCGGGCUGCUGGGGACGUCCAGGGCCUGGGCUAGAAGAGCCACCUCCCAUCACUCUGGCCGGAGCAGCUGCGGCCGCCGCAUAUUAGAGGAGACGCGAGUCAGGAUGGAGAAGAGGCCGCCCAGGCUUGGGCUCAAGCCAUGGGAGAAUGGCGGAAGGGACUGGGCUGUGGGGCGUGGAGGAGACCUCGGGGAGACGAGCAUCUCCAACAACUAUCCAGCGCAGCGGCCUGAGCGUAACGAUGGGCCUGCAGAAGCCAGAAAGAGUCGGAAUCGCCCACACAGCUCCCCGACUGGCCUUGCUCAGACCUCCCGGCAUUUACUCCCACUUUCCCAAUGA
RNAcentral lists this long non-coding RNA (1002 nucleotides) under Monodelphis domestica (gray short-tailed opossum). Its description in RNAcentral is "lncRNA (ENSMODG00000046333.1)". Lineage: Eukaryota; Metazoa; Chordata; Mammalia; Didelphimorphia; Didelphidae. The record is from RNAcentral.